This is a long non-coding RNA of Passer domesticus (house sparrow), 15041 nucleotides long. RefSeq lists it as uncharacterized. The transcript has 3 exons. NCBI's taxonomy places the organism in Eukaryota, Metazoa, Chordata, Aves, Passeriformes, Passeridae. The record is from RefSeq and is a predicted model, not a curated record.
CGUGCUCCCAGCAGGGCAAGUGGCCUUUCUGUGGGCUCUGACCUUCCGUAGGCAGCAAGGGAUCCUCCGUGAAGGGCAGGCGGGCCAGGAAGCUCCAAAGGGGCUCUGGCAGCCCCCAAACCAUGACAACUGAGGUUGUUUGCCAGAAAAUAAGACAAAGGCUUGUUGCUGCCAGAAUCUGCCCUUCCAACAACAAGGAAUAGCAGUAAGUGAGCAAGUAGGAACACACAGAGCUGUACAGAGAGCAGAAGAGAAUGGCUCCUAUUAUUUUGCCCUUCAUUCCUCUCCAGUGUGCUGCUCUCCAGAGGCAGGGGUGCUGUGAACUGACACUUUUAUUUGCAUUGCCUCUAACCAGGACUCAAGGCUUUAUAAGAGAAGAAAAGAAAAAAAAAAGGGUGGACAAAGAUCAGAUGAUAUAUCUGUUCCCCAGCAUAUUCUCCAUAACUAGAAGGACAAUAAUAAUGCUGGUGAGGUCCCUGAUAUAUAAGGUGAGCUGUUCUCCCCUCCUCUUCAUUAUGAGAUGAGUAGCAAAGGAUUUGGGAUGGACUCCUUGCACCUGUUCAGUGCAGACUCCCCAGCCGUAACAUGUCCUGUCCCAUUUCCCCACGGUCACUGCAGGGACACAGUCCCUGUACCUCAGUGCCACGAGAGCCUUGUCACAUAGCACCACCAUCUGCUGCUUAGGACCAUGCUGGGAGCACUGAACUCCCUGCACCACCCUGAGGGACUCCUGUGGCACAGGGAGAUUCUUCCCUCCUGCACCUGUGGUGGCUGCUGCACUCAAGGACCUUCCCAAAUGCAUGUGCUCCUCCCACAGGAUAGGGAGAACUUUCCCCAAGUGCCUGGCCUUUGAUGGCUGCUUCUGCAGUCAAACAAGUGCAAACUGGCUGGAUCCAUUUUAAUCUUCCACUGCUUCCCAAAGUACAGCCUCCCCUUUGAAAACCUCUGCUGCAAGAUUAGAAAGCAAUGCUCUCAGGACUUCCUUCUACGGAAGUGUAAAAGCCAGGCUGGCACUCCAACACUUUGCAAGCACCCGACAGAAAAGUUUCCUCAUUUGUGGUAAUGACAGAAAAUGUCCCAGCCUAGAGAAGUUAUGGUUAUUCAUGGAAUAUUAGCCCCAAAGACUUGAAAUGCAAUGUUCUGGCUUAAUGCAAACCCAUGGGGUCCCGAAGAGAAAAGACCAAGGAAGCUCUGGUUGGCAUCAGAAGGCAACUCAAGCUGUUUGCUUCUUAUAUCCAUGACAGCUGAGCACUGACUUCUUACCAGCUGGGACACUGCUAAUCAACACAGAGACCAGGAAGAUGGCUACAGAAGCAUUCACUGAAUGGGUUUAUGCUCAAGUCCCUCUUUCAAGCAGCCUCAUCUGCUUAAAAGAAAUGAGCCUGAAGGGACAGGUCCUCCUUGUCACCUUCCCAUUCUACAUAGGAGCACAGCCACAUCCCUGGAGAUGCAUGUCUGCUCCAAAAGAUGUGAUAUACUCUGAGUACUGGCCUCUGCCAGAGCCUGGGGGUACCCAUCACCUGCAGCCUGAAAUGCCCCAGAGUUCAAAGCAGAUUUCAGCUAAGGAUCUUGAAGUGCUGUACAAACAGCCAUUAAUCCUCAAACCAUCCCUGGGAACCAGGCCUGUAAUUAUUUAGCACACCAUUUAUCUCUGGAACUCUCUGUGCCCGUUCUCCCAGCCUGGGGAUGAAGAGAGGUAAAACAAUACCUACCAUUUCAUAACAAACUGCAAAUUAAAUCGACCGCAGCUCAGCCGUUAAGGGAAAUGUUACCUUUUCCAUAAUCACCUCCUGCAGGCAAGUGCAACAGCUAUUCUUUAACAGCUAGGUAAACUUUGACAAAAAAAAAAAUGACAAGCUCUGAGUGAGACAGCCAACAAGUGGCAAAAGAUUUCCAAGAGCAGAAAUCAGGAAUCCUAUCUCUUGGUUUCUUGAUUUAUCAACUGAAUUGUCUCUGCUCCACCCCUCGCCCCCCUUAAAGAUGACCUCCAAAAAAAAAAAAAAUGCUGCCUAUGCCCUUUAUGUGACUUUGUAAUAGAUUCAGGAGCCUGUAGGAUUUCAGUCCAAUGGAAAAAGAUUAAGAGUUUUUCCACUUGUUUUCUUACAUUACAAAUGCAGGUCUUCUGGAGCCUAGAAGUCUCCAGUCUGUCUAGAUCAUGAAAAAACUAGGACCAAACAAAGACAAGAGGGCGAGAACGGGGUGGAGAAGAGGAGAGGGGAGAGGAGAUCAAGCCAAACGCACAACGUGCUGUUUGCAAGCAACAACUGCAUAAACACAGUAACAAAAUGACGCACAAAAUAUCAGUAAGAAAUUACGUGCUAUUCAAGAGUUGAUUUUCCUGCAGCUCCAGACAGGGUGUGAGAAUCCACAGAGGUCAAACUCUGAGUACCCCAGGAGAUCUGCAGAGCAACAAGAAGAGGGAAAAAAAGAAACAGAUCCUCGCACCUCUGUUUUUCCUUCUCAAGCAGAAGCCUUAAGUGGCCUGAGAUUUCAAAGAAGACAGACCUAACAUAGAGGAAUGAGGAGAACUGGGUAAGAAAAGCAGAUCAAUGGCUGUCCUUUCUCUGCCUGCUGUGUUGGCCAGAUUCAUGUAGAGGAAUCCCUGGAGAGAAGUUGAAGGGAAGGAGCAUGGGCACGGGUGGAGUAAACCAGUAAAACAAAAGGCAAUUAAAAAGUGAAGCGGAGAUGGAGAAAGCGACAGAAGGACAGGGCUGGAGCAAAUGUCAGCACACAGAGGAAAUGGUCCCACUUCAAUCCAAAAAGCAGAAAGGUCACUCAGAUGGUGACAAAGCUGCCUCUUCUCUGCCCUCUUCCUACACAGCUCCCUCCCCUCUCUGUUCCAGGGAGGCAGCAGGAUCCCUGCUCUGGUCUAAUCCCAGAAGGCAGUAAAGGAAAAAUUCAGUCAGUUCCAGCUGUACCUGUUUAAACUACCUCUGCAGAUGGGAGGUUUAAUUAGAGCUAGUCUGCAGUAUUCAGGCUUUGCACUGCUUUAACAGGCUGGGAUCAGAACCUGUGUGACCAGAGGAUGGAGGGAAGGGCAGUGAGGGGCGGAAGCGGGGCACAGGGUGCUGGGGGAUGUUGCUGCUGUAUUGAAAGAAGUGCAGUUGAACAGGUCCUGUCUAGAUGUGGCUAAGGAGUACACAGACCACGUUUGCACAAGGGCAUUUUGUUGUAAGCCACUGAGUAUUUCAGGGGCUUAAAUCCAAUUCAGGAAGCAGAAGCCUUUCCUCAGGAAAUCUGUUUUUCCAGUUCUUUGCAGAUAGCUCCUCCAGAAACCUCCAAGCACAGAGCAUUAAAUAAUAAUCUGUUAAAAUUACGUCCCUCUUGUCCAACUACCUGCCAGCAAUGCCUAAUUGCUAUCUCUAUGUGUCCUGAAACCCAGAAGUCCAAGAACUGCCUGCAGUAACCAAGUGUAAAUCUUGUGGCAACCCCUUCCCUAUGUCAGGGAGCAGGUAAAUACACUCCAGACUGGUGCCUUGAGCUAUCAGGUCCCCCAUUAGAGGAACCUGGAAGGGAUUGUGACGGCUCUUCGUCGAAUGCCACAGCAGCCAAGCAAUUGCUGAUCUUAGAGCGGUGCCUGCUGGCCAGUCAUAUCAGAAGCACUUGGAAAUAUUUCCACAGUGGACAAAAUUGCAGUCAAGUUCAGGAAACCAUUUCUAGGGAAGAGGAGCAUGUCCAGCUCUGCUGUGCUUCUGCCAGAAUCUGCCAUCCAAGUUCCCACAUGCUGCAAACAAGCUGUCCUAAUUCACAAAAUUAGGUCUGGUAUUUACUUCUAUCAGAUCUCCAUCCCCACACUGUUUCUUCUCUUUACAGUUUUAUGAUUUUCAAGCCAAUCACAAUGUAAUUGAUGACUUUUUAUUAUUUUUUGUAUAACUGAUGUAUCUUGAUAAUGCAAUUCCCCGUAAAAGUUCAGCUUCUCAACAGUGUCAUCUCAACAAGAUCCUUAACCUGUUUGGUGUUGGAUGCUGAGAACAAAAGGCACUUCGCAUCACUUAGGCCUUUUGAAAAGGCCAAAAUUUUACAGACCAUUGCCAUACAGAAACAUGCUCAAAACAGCAACAAUGCCACUUGCGUAGGCUGAGUGAAACAGAAGAAACUGGAUGUUAUCUGUACAUCUGUUUGAGCUCCCCCAUGCUGUACAUAAACCAAAACUUUCAGCUGAAUAUGUAUUUAAGGUAAACACUGGCCAAAUGUCUGUGGUGAAUUGACAACUGCACAAAUUUGAGCUGUCCUACUGUCUCAGAAGAUGAAAGGACCCUCUCGCCACAUCCCCACUCCAGCUUGGGAAAUGGUCAGAGGCUAUGAUGUGGACCUUAUAACUCAAAAACAUCUGAAAGAAAGUGACUUACUUAAAAAUGCAUCUGGGGUUUGCACAAAAGCUUGUGGGUUACACAAAGUAAAUGUAAAAAAAUCAAAUGAAAUCUUGAAGCAGAUAAUUCUUCUAUCAACAACAGGAAUCUGCUGAAAAUAAAAGUCUAUUUUGGGAACUGGAACAAUAAGGGAAGACUGCAGAAAAUACUGAAUUCAGCAAUCUCUAGUCUUUCAGUGUUUGACUUCGCCACUGCAUCGAACUUCUGUCCUAAUUUAUUUGGCUUCAGAAAGACAGAAGUGAAAAACAACAGAUAAUGAAUAAUUAUUAAUGUGGAGCAUAUUACUAGUGAUUACAAUGUUCCAAAUCACCAUACGCAUGUUACCACUGUGACGCUGUAGUGAUUAGAAAAAGCAUAUUAUGAAUUCAGGUUAAUAUAUUCCAAAGUUGACCAGAGGGCUUUCAUACUUAAUCAGUGCCGUUCUGCAAAACUUAUAGUUCAGAGCCAUGAUGGAGCCUGAGAACUGUAGUCUGACUGCAUUCCAUACGGUUGUUUACUUAGAGAUCAUGUAACAGUGAUCCCAAAUUAGGUAUUGUUUCCCAUGACCUUUUUUGCCUGUUAGGUUGGCCACAGGAACCAAGCAGGUCCACACCACUGGAAGCUAGUGCAGCUUUUCCCAGGACCCUGGCGCACUUCAGAGUAGAUAUAAAGGGAGAUGUGAUCUGCUGCAUCCCUGAGUCAAAACAUCUUUUCAGAGGGAACGAGUCUCCCAUCCCUGUGGGCUGGCUCUCAACCUCAAAGUCCCACAGCCAGCUCCUUACAGUUUUCUUAUUAAAUGCUUUGGCCCAUCAUGCCUGCUGGCUUUGCUUUACCCUAAAUCCUGUUUAGGUUGGUGAGAUCAAUUCCCCACACAUACAGGCCCCUCUUUCAGAUGUCCUAAAGAUAAGUUAAAAUAUUGAAUGUCUCACCAAUUUCUAAUUUCUCUAGGAAAAAAACCAACUAUAUUGGCCCUUGAAAACAUCUACAACCAACCAUCCCACUUGGCAAAUCACCCCCAGUGUCACCAAAUGCCCAUUGAGUAAGUGGGCAGCAACCUGCCUCCUACAGCUCUUAAUGCAAAACAGCUAAUCCAUAGGUGAUUAAUCUCAAGGAGCCUUUUUCUCUCCCUCUGAAUCAAUAGCCUUCCUUGGGAAGCUUCACACUCCACACAGCAGAGGGAAGCUGGGAAUAAUUUCCUGCACUGCUGGAUCUAAGUCCUACCCCAGCAGAGCAAUGUCACCCAGACACACAGAACUUCAGGCUGCCAUUCUGGCACUUAAAUCUUCUUGCCUCUUUUUCAAGCGUUGUCUUUCUGAGACACCACCAUCAAGGUGAUUAGUUUAGUUAAAUUAGUUGUUUAGUUUAGCUUAACAUUUACUUAAAACUGAGCACUUGCAACUGGAAGUGAAACAUCUGAAAAUGUGAUUCUCAAUUGGACCUAGAGGAAAAUGCCGAUAUCAGUGGAAAAUGCCGAUAUCUGUUGCCAGGACUGCAAGACACAGCUUAUUGCAGUACAAGGCCAGCACUAAAAAAGGUUAUUCUGGAAUUAAUUUAUGUUUGUAGCCCUAAAAUUGUCUAUUUUGCGUUACUCUGCACAGAAUUUCUGGACCUUUUUUGCACUUACCCCCACCAAUCACUGAUUGUUCUGUUCACUUACAUUCCAUCUUUCUGCUCCAACUCUACACUCUCUUCUCCCCUCUCUUCCCCAGGAAGCAAAAGAGAAUCCAAACUACAUACUUGAAGUGCACUGAUACUCCCCAGUGAAAAGCAAUAUAAAGACAAAUGUAACUGGUAUAUGAUAGAAGAGCAAAACACAUUUUAUAUUGGAAAGAAACUUGCCAUUUAUAAGGCUAGGAAUUAUUUUUUUUCUAGGUAGAGAGGCACAGCUGAUAGAAAAGGUUGAUAAGCUUUGUGACCCACAAGCAUAUUCUCAGAUAUCCAACAGGGAUGAAGAAGCAGCUGCAUUUUUCAUAUGAAACUUCAUAGAUAAGAAAUUUAAAUGUGUCCUUGAGCACAGGAUACACUGGUUUCUCCCAUGACUGUACUUGUUAAGCCACACUGGCCAACAUGGUGCCCCACAAUUAACCCUACUCACCACCUUUUAAGGAGGAAAAUUCCCUUGAGGUCAUGCCUAAGGCAAAGUUCCUCAGAAUUUUGCUACAUGCUCCUUUGGGUCCCUAGAAAUGUUUCAUGUCCUUGUACCUGCCCCACAGUUCAAACUGCACACAGAUGUGGUCAAGCACACAUGCCCACCUCGCCCUUUUGCUUUGGGUGUCCCUAAAUUAGGCUGCUACUGCUUGAAGAUGAUUGCAAACCUGUGUUCCAGCAGCAGGAUGCCACACAUGGCGUGUGUCACCUCCUUGCAGUUUGCCAGGCAUAAUCAGUCCCUGGAUUUAAGGCACAGAUACAAGUCAGCUCACAAGGCAGCCACGCUGCCUGCUGGUGUUCCUGCUGUCCCAAGCUUUUGCUGCAGUCCUGCUCCUGGAAGCCAACCCUCUCAUCUCUGCUUGUGCAGCUCCAUAUGAAGCUAUCUCUUAGGCACCGAUGAAGGCUGUCUCAACUCACAGGACUGCUUUCACACUGGAAUCUGUAAGAGAUUGUUCCCAACGUUUGCACAGCCAGUCUGAUGCAUGAGAUGCAACUUUUCAACCAGCACAGAGAGAUCCAGCACAGUGUGUUUGCAAACAACUGAAAGUUGGGCAUGUCAGCACAACACGAAGCUGCCUGCACAACUGUGGCAUGCGUUUUGUGACCAAAAUCCACACUUCCAGCUCUACAGCAGAUAUUGAGCUCUGAUCUCAUUUAUUCUGGGAUUAAUUAGGAACAACAUCUCCUGUAGUCACUGCUUUCAAAGGUUAAAGCUGGCAUAAAGCAAGGAGAGUCAGGACCAAGGAAUCAGUCAGGCUAUGACUUAUGAGCACAAGUACUUAACAGCAGCCUCUACACACUCUGAGUUUGCUUAUUAACAAACACAGGUCUUACUACCAGCAUCAAGGAUGCUGGAGGGCAGGCUCAGUUCCUGAAAUACAGUCAGCAUUUCCUGGGUUCAAGUUUUUCACAGGCCAGAAGUAACUGUGUUCCAAGUGAGCUUCUACUCUCUGCUAUUGAAAACUGCCUGUUUUUCCAUUCACUGUCAAGUAAGAUUGGACAGAAGCUUUUCACAGCAAAACAAAGUUUAUUCUUCUUUAGUUACUGUGAGGACAAUUGAAGAGAACGCAGGAAAUGGCACUGCAAAUACUGUCACCAAAACCAGCAGGAAAUCAGGUGAAUUUAUUCUCACAAAUGUAUGACUUCACAUCCUUAUAGGAAAAAAACCCCAAAAUCUACCCCUCAUAAAACCAAAGAAACAACAAGAGUAAUUAACAAAAAAGCUUCACUGUUGCUUUGAAAACUGUGGUUUGCUGUUCUACCAGAAGUUUCUCAUGCACAGAAGAACCUGUGCAAGGUAAAAGGGUGAAAGCUGGCAGUGAGAGACUGUAGGGCCUGUAGUUCUUGGUCUUAUGUCAGCCUGCCAUGUAAAUGGGUUUUUCUACUUCUGAUCAAGCUCCAAAAUUCCACAAACUAUUCUGAAGACUUCCAGCAACUGAGGUUAAUUAACCACAACUGCCUACUAUUUUUGAAGACUGUUCUUCUUGCUUUGGAAACAAUGUCAGUUAUACCAGCUGUCAAAGACUUUUCAAAACCACACUAUAAUGAGACCUUUCUGUGUUGUUUAGUAUGAAAUUGCAUGGGAUGAAUGGAGACCAUGACACAAACUGGUAUAGUUUCUGGAACUAGUUUCAGCCAGUUCUACCAACAUUUUUUACUAUAAUUUCUCACAUUAAUAACAGAAAAGAAGGCUUUGCCCAAGCAGGCAAACAAGCUACAGGUUUUACCAUGAUAACCACAACAAAGGAUAUAUUUGUGUGGAGACUUGUUAAAAAGUUAUUGAGAAGCAGACAGCAUUAUCCUGAUAAAUUUAUUGAAGGUGGAAUGGAUAAGGACACUUGGAUCAGGAACAGUGAUCUCCAAAACCCAGCAAUCAAACAAAAAAAAAAAACAAACCUGUAUAAAAUACAUCGUUUUGGUUGUGGAUCAGUUAGUAACUUUUAAGGUUAAAUAAAAAAAUGCAUGCAUAUAUUACAAAAAGACAAGACAAGGUUUUUUUACAUCUUAAAUAUUUUUUUAUAAAUUACAUUUACAGAGAACAGUAGACAUAAAAGGUCUAGUCCUACCAAAAGAGACUUUUGAACAUUUGUACAGUUUACAGUAUACAAGCUGUACACUCAUGCAGUACAGCUGCAAAUAGAAGAAGAAGCUGUGGGAGUGGAAAGGACAAAAGUCAAAACAAGGGGAAAGCUGAAGAUUCUGAUCUUCAGUUACCAGUGUCAAACCUUCAUGAUUCUUUACACAUACCAUGUUCAAAAUGAACCAAACUGGCUUUCAAAUUUCUUAAACAGUCAGCAUGUAAACAUAAUGAAAAACACUCCAUAGCUUGAUGUUCUGAAGAUACUAAUGCAUGGCAUUUUUCUUUUUGAUUCCUUCUAAACUUCAUUACAUAACACAACUUCAGUUUUCAAGUUUUUGUUCUAGUCUCAAGCAACUUAAAAACAUACUAUUAUUUCCUAGGAGUGAGAUGAAAUUCUUAGAAAAAUAUGAAAAGUCCUAAAAGUUCAAAAAAUAUAAAAAGCUUUAAGAAAAGCCCAAACCUGUUGUUAAUAACAUCUUUGUUCCAGUGCACCAAGCUGAAAUGUAGUUUUAUCACAGAAUGAACCACUGUCAGGAGAUGAUCCAUUUACCAGGCACCUGGGAAAUCUAGGACAUAGUUUUGUCCAGAACCAAGACUAGAAAAUGCAAACUUCCCAGUGCAAACCCAUCUGGCCUGCUGAAUGAUGAAGUUUUUUUUCUGACUGUAAAAAGGCACUGAUAAAAAAAGUGAAAACCAAUCAUUUUUUGAUUUGACAACAUUCAUGCAAAUAUAUAAAACUUUGUGAAUCUCUAAAUAUUAACUACAAAGAGGUUUUAGUGUGUUAGUAAAAAAAAAAACCAUAAAACACACUAUAUAACAAACCAUAACAAAACAUAUGGCUUGUUAAAACCAUACAUAAAAUAAUUCAAAAGAUUUUGUCCAUGAUUUAUGCUAUUUGUCUUCACAUAGUAACACUAGGAAAGGAGGCUGUCUUUCCUGAAGAAGAAAAAUAGACACUGGAAACAGUUCAGCCUGUCUUCAAGGGGCUUAUUGAUGCAGCUCUGACAACUUCAUUGCUUGUGGAAGCCCUUCAAGUGAAAAGGUAGCACCUACUUCAUCACUGAAUUCUACCACUUUUCUUCCAUAUUUGUUUGAGCAACAAAGCAAUUAUUUGCUUAUGCUUUAAGAUCUGAAACAAAAGAAUAGGAAAAGCACACGGGUAAAUUACUAGGUCUUCUAGAAACUGAACUACAUGAGAAUACUGCAGGCUUUAGAUACUAACGAGGUGUUGUGAAGAUGCACCAAGACACUGUCACAUGACUCAUAACAAUCCAGUCAGAGCAGGUACAUGACCAAUGGUAUCUGAUGGCCCCUAAACAUUUUACCCAAAUUACCUCUUUAUAAUUAGGUACAUUCCAACUGGACCACUUUUAGAACAUUUAUUACUUACUACCAGCCACCUGCUAAGCAGCUGGUAACCUGUGAAGUUGUUCUGACUCCAUGACUUUGGAUCACAUAAUCAGGCAAUUGAGACACCACUUCCUUUCAAAUGUUUUAUGUCUAUAAUCUCAAUAUCAGCUGUGCAUCACGUAUGCAUAUGUUGCUGCUGCUAUUUCUUCCACACAAUAAUUCCAGGUGCUUUUGGAGUUCUCUUUUGAAGAUUGAAAAUACAGCUCUUAUUUGACAGGAAUACUGAAGGCCAAGGGAAGUUACAGUGUAGGAAGUUCAAGACUACAUGCCCAGCCUAACUCAUCACAUGAAACAUGCAUCAGCCUCUAACCAGGCUGGUUUCCAGCAAAGCACCCACAAGCCCACUUACACUGGUGUUGCACACAUAGCAACUCUACAAGGGGAGCCACCUGGAUGAGCCAGGACACCAUGCUCUUUGGUCCCAUUUUGAUAGCACUUCCUGUCCCUUCAACUAAUCUCUAGCUCAGCAUCACUCCAGGACAAGAUGUCAGGAGAUGGUCUAGGAGAGCAGAGUAUGGUGACAUAUGGUACACAACUCUGUAGGUGAUAACAAAAAGAAAGCUGUCCCUAGCCUGAUUUUCAUAAGGUCCCUGGGUAGGCUUGAAGUAUUUUUAUGAUUCAUGUGUUUAAAAUCCAAGCAGGUUUACUGCUUUACCUUAGUGAUGAUACUAAAGAACACGAUCAAAAAGCCAGUUAUGUCUGUGCGUGUUUGUUUGCUAUUUUCUCAUGUCUGUGCAGUGAGAGGGUCUGAAUAUGAAAUAGGGUUCUGUCACUUUAUAGCUUGAGGGAUAAGCAUCAGUUUUCAUUACCCCACCUACCGCCAGAACACACGAAAUGUUCUGUUCUCACACAGUUUGCAAACAGAACUGAAGCAAGCACAGCUGCAUCUGGUGCCUCCGCAUGACAUAACAACCAGACCAGCUUCAGAUGUUAAACCUUUAAGGGUGAUGCAGGAGCACAGUUGGUUAGCCCAGCAAAGCAGCACAUCAUGUGGCCCAGGAAUAAUACACUGAGUUACUUCAUUUGGCUUUCAGUAUUACUCAUUGUCAACUAACAGGAUCUGACUCAGUUCAUACGACACACCACACCUUCCUCUGCAGCUCUGCAGACUGUUCCAUGUCCGUUUCCUGGUUUCAUGACAGGUUCAUCAGCAGUUUUGUCUGCAUCACAGAGUCAGGUUUUUUAUACUCAGCCCUAACUCUCUCCCACCUUCCCACUCAUCCAUGUUUUCUCAUAUUCGGAGAUUUUUUCACCCCUCUUUUCAGCAUUAUCUUCAGCAAAUACCAGAAUUUAUAGACACAAUUGCUUGGUUGGUAAUUCAACAGAAGUGGCAAACUUGGUAAAACAAAAAACUGCAGCAGUAAGGUGCCACUUGCUUUCACACUGCUGUGCAUUUUGAGAACGUUUAAAUUGAUUAUCUGCACCAGCAGACUCGAAAGAGGAUGUGCACAAGGCAGUCCAUUAAAAACAUAAUUCUGCAGCAGUAAUAAAAUUUUAAAAAUAAAAGUACUAUUUACUUCAUCAUUAUAAUUUUUAAAUUUUUAUUUUAUGCAUAUUUUAUAAUGUACGCCAUACUUGAAUAGGGUAAUAAUUAUAUAUAACUUAUAAAUACACAUAAAUUUGGUGUGCAUGUUUGAAGUAUUUUACUGAUGUGGUAGACAAUCACAAAAGGAUUGGUGACCACUUACCUGCAAUACAAAAAUCAGAAAUUAGUAUGGGAGGCCCACAGUUACACCACUCAAGUAAGGACUGUAUAACAGACAAAAUGACAUUUUUCCCUUUUUUUUUCCAAGAAAGGAACAUCAAUUCAGUCAGCCUCUGUGUCAGUCAGCACACUCUCCCAGGACAGAGAGCUUCACCCUCACAUACCUUCUUCAGUGCAGCUAGAAGAGUUGACCGGGUGCCCCCCAUUUUCACCUUCUGCCUCCUGGGUCACUUCUGCAAGGACAAAGGCAAUACUCAGACAAUCCUGGACUUCACAACACUCUGCCUCUCUGCCCCAGAUGCAUCAAGAACACUGACUGGGAUUUGGACCAUUUGUUUGGCAACAAUAGUAACCCUGACCAACAUGCCUCACUCCCAUGGGAUCACCAUCCAACACCUCCCUUCUCUCCUCCACUCCUGAUCUGCACUAUCUUCACAAUCCCUCACCCACCCUGUAAAGGCCAAGCACAGGCUGUGCACAAGCACUCAGUGCCCGGGGUGCCAUCCAUUAGGUGGCAUUAGGCAAAAGUCACACUGAACAAAGAGUGUUCCGCAGUCCAGGCACUUACCUCCUUCAUUCAUAUCAUGGCCAUCUGCACGGUUACUGCGUGCAUACACAAUAUAGAAAGGCUCCUGGAAAGCAUCCAAAGGAGGGCCAUGAGGAUGGUGAAGGGUCUGGAGGGGAAGCCUUUUUGAGGAGGGGCUGAGGUCACUUGUUCUGUUCAGCCUUGAGGAGACUGGAGAGAGACCUCACCACAGUCCACAACUUCCUCGUGUGGGGAAGAGGAGAGACAGGUACGAUCUCCUCAUCUCAUGACCAGUUACAGUACUAGAGGAAGCUGAGUCAGGGGAGGUUUAGGCCAGAUAUCAAGAAAAGGUUCUUUCUCCCAGAGGCUGCUUGGGCACUGGAACGGGCUCCCCAGGAAAGUGGUCACAGCACCAAGCCUAACAGAAUUCAAGGAGCAUUUGAACAACACUCUCAAGGGAUAUGGUGUGAUUUUUCGGGUGUCAUCUGAAGGGCAGGAACUGGAGUCAAUCCUGAUGUGUCCUUUCCAACUCACCAGAUUUUAUGAUUCUAUGAAGGGAUCAUGGCCAGUUUUCCUGCAGGGUCAGUAACACUGACUGCUCCAUAGAACAGGCACUUACCUUCCUGAUUUACACCAUUCUUAACUAUCUGCUUGUCUUUCAGGGUCCUGUCAUUCUCAUUCAAUACUCUGUCUGAAAAGAGAUCAGAGAACAACUGCAGUCCUCAGGAGCACAGCCCAUUGCUUCUGCCCCUCCCCAGCACAGGCCACUGCUCUGUGCAGCCCAGAGCUCAGAGCACACCUUCCCCUCUGCACGUUAAGUACUGCUGUGCUACCAGCAAAAGUCCUGCUUGAAAUUGCUUUGCACACACGUUUCAGAGGACAUCAUAGCCUUGUCUGCUAUUUCCCAUCCCUAGAGCAGUGGCUGCCUGUUCCCCAGGUGCUGCUGGCUGCCCUGCACAGAGGUGCACUAACUCCCCUGUCUGAUGUUCCCAUUCUAUUCUGCAUCUCAUGUCCAAAUACACAACCUUUAUCUAUGGACCUGAUUUCUCUCUUGCCUGAACUGUGUGUUUCCCUCCUUUCUACUUUAACUCAGGUGAAAAAUAAGCCUCCUUUUCCUAUACCCAUGUCUAUGUAUAUGGAAACAGUUACACAAGUGAUGACACAGUCCUGCAGUGCACCACACCUUCUCCAUCAGCUACACAAUCCCUGUUUCUUCAGAUGAAAGAAAGCUGUUCCAUACCCAUUACAAGCCAUGCAGGGAGAAUAAACAGCAAACCCUAGGGGCUUCUGAUUUUUUUUGAGUUUCUUUUUCCUUAUUGUCAUAAUUGGUGAUUUUUUUCCUUUAUAGGAAAGACUUCUGCCUUCUCCCAUCCCUUAUUAUUAGCCACUUGUGGAAAUGGUGGAAGAGUUAGUGAGUGAAUGAAUCACUAGUGCAAAAGACUGGAGAAAAAACCGCCAUUUGUUCUCGAGUUGAACAAUAAUGUUGAAUUUCACUAGCCCUUUGGAGUUAAAAGAACUUCUAGAAAAAAUACAGGUCCCAGAACUUCCUUGAAAUUUGCACUGACUGGACUAAGAAAACAAAACUGGAGCUUUGCUUAACUGACUGAUGAAUGCAGUCAAUAGACUUUCCUAAAGCAUAAAGCAAAUGGAAGAUACAGCAGGCUUUGUUCCAUAGAGAAGCACAUUUCUGAAUUAAGUGUCUCCCAAAUAUGAAUUUUGCAAGCUGGUAAGUAUCCCAUCUCUAAAUUGGUGAUGAGGCUCUUAUCUUUCCUCCAUGUUUAGUUUUUUCCCCACAGAUGGCAAAAGCAGCAUCAUUCUCAUCAUAUCAAGAGGGAAGAUAAAGCCCCAAGAAGGUGUUGCUCUGGUUGAUUACCAAACACAGCCUCCAGGUCUUUCUGAUUUGUCCUCUACUGAUCUACACAUCAACAUCUACCGUUCCUAAAGCAACAGGUUCUUCUAGGCCAGCAAGGGAAUGGCAAACUCUGUAUGCCAUGACAUGCUAACAUGGCCUGGACUACAGAAGGCCAUCUGCAAAAUUACUUUUCCCCUUCAUACUCCUCUGGUUUAGGGCUCCAUCUCACUUGUUACCUGCUUCAGGGUUUUCAUUCUCACAUUGAACAGUGUGUGAAAACGCAGCUGCAAGAAAACAGAAAUCCUUUUCCAGAAACAUGUAUGGACGUGGCACAAUAGUCUGCAAAAUAUGCAACUCAGCCUUAAAGUGAUAACUUCAUCAUAACACUUUUUAAAGAUAUUCCUGAGAACCACUAUGUUAUGCCACUUUAAGGACUCACAAUUAAUUUCAACUUCAACUUCCCUCCAGCAACCACUUAAGGUCCAGACCAUGACAACAUUGUUUAUAUUUAUGCCUACAACUUUACAAAAGUCUUGCCAAUGUAGAUCUAUUGGUAAAGCUGCACAGAUCUGCCAUAAAGAGCCAGAGAUAGCUGAGAAGAGAAUGUGCAUCUACUUUUUUUACUUCAUCUGUGUUGCACUAACACUGUAACUUUCAACCCUUGCUCUUUGCAGACCUUAAAGAAUCUUUAAUAGAACCAUUCUAAAGCAAAUUUAAGUGCAGUAUCAAAAUUAGGUUUUUUGGGGGAUUUAAUGGGGUUUUUUUUCCCUACCCAUACUCCUAAUUUUCUCACUUUCAGAUUCACCCAUAGUCUCAACUUCAGCAGGCUCUCUGAACCAUGGGCUAGAAACCAGAGUUUUAACAAAUGUAAGGUACCAGACUGAGCACCCACAUGAAGGCACUGUGAGCUCAACACCAGAACAGUCCAAGAGGCCACUGAGCCUCCCACCUGAUGGCAGGAGCUCUGGCCA